CUGGCUCAGGAUGAACGCUAGCGACAGGCCUAACACAUGCAAGUCAGGGGCAGCACAAGGAGCAAUCUGAGGUGGCGACCGGCGCACGGGUGAGUAACACGUAUGCAACCUGCCUGUAAGCGGGGAAUAACCCGUUGAAAGACGGACUAAUACCGCAUAAUACUAAAUUACUGCAUGGUAAUUUAUUUAAACAUUUAUGGCUUACAGAUGGGCAUGCGCAUGAUUAGCUAGUUGGAGAGGUAACGGCUCCCCAAGGCAACGAUCAUUAGGGGUCCUGAGAGGAAGGUCCCCCACACUGGUACUGAGACACGGACCAGACUCCUACGGGAGGCAGCAGUGAGGAAUAUUGGUCAAUGGACGAGAGUCUGAACCAGCCAAGUCGCGUGCAGGAAGAAUGUCCUAUGGAUUGUAAACUGCUUUUGCAGGGGAAUAAAGUGAGCCACGUGUGGUUUUUGUAUGUACUCUGCGAAUAAGGAUCGGCUAACUCCGUGCCAGCAGCUGC
Molecule: ribosomal RNA, 502 nt
Filed under: uncultured bacterium
Lineage: Bacteria
Description: bacterial SSU rRNA
Rfam family: Bacterial small subunit ribosomal RNA
Source: RNAcentral